Molecule: ribosomal RNA, 253 nt
Filed under: uncultured bacterium
Lineage: Bacteria
Description: partial 16S ribosomal RNA
Rfam family: Bacterial small subunit ribosomal RNA
Source: RNAcentral
UACAGAGGGCUCAAGCGUUGUUCGGAUUCAUUGGGCGUAAAGGGCGCGUAGGUGGCGCUGUAAGUCGGGUGUGAAAUUUCGGAGCUUAACUCCGAAACUGCAUUCGAUACUGCGGUGCUUGAGGACUGGAGAGGAGACUGGAAUUCAUGGUGUAGCAGUGAAAUGCGUAGAGAUCAUGAGGAAGACCAGUGGCGAAGGCGGGUCUCUGGACAGUACCUGACACUGAGGCACGAAGGCCAGGGGAGCAAACGGG